Molecule: long non-coding RNA, 527 nt
Organism: Salvia miltiorrhiza (redroot sage)
Lineage: Eukaryota; Viridiplantae; Streptophyta; Magnoliopsida; Lamiales; Lamiaceae
Exons: 2
Source: RefSeq, a predicted model, not a curated record
CGUUGCUGCUUUCUCCGAGAAGCUCGCGAAUGGCCGCCCAGACGUCGUCUCUCAACUGGACUAAGCAGGGCAGCCCUCUAAAGCUAUGUUCUCUCGUCUACUUUUCAUCGAUUCGAAAACGUGAACUAGACAAGGUGUUAAUCAAAUAGAAUGAAAUCAUUGAAGCCCAUCCUUACCUGAGAGCUUCGGCUGAAUGAGCUGGGCUAUUCUUUGAUUCCCCUUUGGGUGAGAUGAGUUGAGAGUGAAAAUUGUAUUUGUUGGCUGAUUAUCAAUAAUUGUCGUUGCAUAAUUAUGUGAUAAUGGUGGUAAUGGAAAACAAAGUAUAGUGGUGUAGAAAAGUGGUGAGUGGUGGGGAAAAUGGUGGUGAAAGUGGUGGGGAAAAGUUAGGAAACUAAAGUUGAUGGAAGAAAAAUGUAGAGAAGAAUUAAUGAUGUAUUUUCUCUGUCUCGGUGAUUCUGUAACUGUAAAGUGGAUUGCGUGCUCAUAUUUGCUUGUACUGUUUAUUUAAAUAAAUCUCGAUUUCGACA